UGCUGAGAUCAUUUCAACCAGCUUGCCGUGCAGAGCACCGUUGGUGACGAGAACACCACCUGAAGGGUAAAUGUCUCUGCGCCCAGUUAGGUCAGCUGCAAGAUCCAACGGUUUCCCACUCCAGUCACUAAUCUGUCAGUUGAACAAAUCACAAAAUCACCAUGGUUAAUAAUGUUAACAUUGGUGAACUGAUGGAACAAAUGUGCAUUUCGUCGAGUCCUGGCUUAACAAGUGUGCUGUAUACCUGACCUCCAGCUUCCUGUACACAAAUUACUCCGACAGCAUGAUCCCAAGACUGCAAACAGUGGGAAAGGAAAGGAUUACUGCAGCUACAAACUAAGUCAACAGUUUGUUCAGCUUGGACGGAAACUCCCAGAUUCAAGUGAUCACCUUGAGAUUUUUCGUCCGUGCUCGAAGUACAAAAACGGAGGCUCUCCCAGAAGCUACAGUUAGGUACUUGCACAAGCUAUGGAAGAUCAACAAGAAGAGCGCAUCACGAUCACUCAUGCACCGACCAAUCCAUAAUCA
RNAcentral lists this small RNA (528 nucleotides) under Oryza sativa Japonica Group (Japanese rice). Its description in RNAcentral is "sRNA Os07g0558250". The record is from RNAcentral. Lineage: Eukaryota; Viridiplantae; Streptophyta; Magnoliopsida; Poales; Poaceae.